GCUGAAGCUUUCUAGGGGAGUGCUGGAAACCUGUGCCCAUCUAGGACCUGAACUCUGCUGCCACUUGGGUCACAUCACUGCCUUCAUUAUAACAGCAGGUGCCUGGUGUGGCAGCUGCCUUGUCCUGCCGCGGUGCCAGCCGCAGAGCUGAGCGCUCCUUCCCGUGCUGCGCCAGGGGCUGCACUGCCUCCUUUCAACCCAGUGCCACUCUCGGCCACCAGGCAUAGGCUCACCAACCUUCCUUCCAAGAGCUGAGCUGCAGCCACUUGAGAUGACCUGCCAGGAAGUUUU
Molecule: long non-coding RNA, 291 nt
Organism: Pogoniulus pusillus (Red-fronted tinkerbird)
Lineage: Eukaryota; Metazoa; Chordata; Aves; Piciformes; Lybiidae
Exons: 3
Source: RefSeq, a predicted model, not a curated record